Molecule: ribosomal RNA, 253 nt
Filed under: uncultured bacterium
Lineage: Bacteria
Description: partial 16S ribosomal RNA
Rfam family: Bacterial small subunit ribosomal RNA
Source: RNAcentral
UACAGAGGAUGCAAGCGUUAUCCGGAAUGAUUGGGCGUAAAGCGUCUGUAGGUGGCUUUUUAAGUCCGCCGUCAAAUCCCAGGGCUCAACCCUGGACAGGCGGUGGAAACUACCAAGCUGGAGUACGGUAGGGGCAGAGGGAAUUUCCGGUGGAGCGGUGAAAUGCGUAGAUAUCAUUUGGAACGCCAAUGGUGAAAACAGGUAGCUGGGGCUGUGCUGACACUGAGACACGAAAGCCAGGGGAGCAAACGGG